RNAcentral lists this ribosomal RNA (555 nucleotides) under Triticum aestivum (bread wheat). RNAcentral's name for it is "partial small subunit ribosomal RNA". Lineage: Eukaryota; Viridiplantae; Streptophyta; Magnoliopsida; Poales; Poaceae. The record is from RNAcentral.
AUGGCCCCAUUCAUCCGGCUUCCCCCGCUACACUACCCAGGGCUGGAGCUCUCCCUCAGAAAAAGAAAACCUAGGUCGCGAGCGAUGCCGCCACCGCCGCCGGCGAAAUCCCCGACCACCGUGCUCGAUCUCGACGACGACCUUCUCCGCGAGGUGUUCCUCCGCCUCCCCUGCCUCCCCAGCCUCGUCCGUGCCGCCCUCUCCUGCCGCACCUUCCUCUCCGCGGUCCGUUCGUCCCCCGCCUUCCGCCGCAGCUUCCGGGCUCUCCACCCGUCUCCCUUUGUCGGAUUCUUCAUCCAACGCUUGACGAAAGGAUUCAUCGUCGGCUUCCAGCCCGAGGACUCUUCUUUCGAAGCCCACCACCUCCCCACCGACCGGGACUUCGCUGCCGCUGUGAGCGGCGGCGAUUUCGACCUCACCGGCCUCCCACUCCCAGACGAGGAUGAGGACAGCGACGUAGAAGAUGAGAACGACGAAGAGAACAACAUGGAGGAGGACACCAAUGGAGAAGAUGAGAACAGCGAGGAUGAAGAGGAGGAGGAGGACGACCAAUAA